This 468-nucleotide ribosomal RNA is filed under the name uncultured bacterium. Its description in RNAcentral is "partial 16S ribosomal RNA". It matches the Rfam family "Bacterial small subunit ribosomal RNA", at positions 28 to 507 of the family's 1533-position model. The record is from RNAcentral.
GACGAACGCUGGCGGCGUGCUUAACACAUGCAAGUCGAACGGAAAGGCCCUGCUCUUGUGGGGUGCUCGAGUGGCGAACGGGUGAGUAACACGCGAGUAACCUGCCCUUGACUUAGGGAUAACUUCAGGAAACUGGGGCUAAUACCGGAUAGGAGCUCCUGCUGCAUGGUGGGGGAUGGAAAGUUUCGGCGGUUGGGGAUGGACUCGCGGCUUAUCAGCUUGUUGGUGGGGUAGUGGCUUACCAAGGCUUUGACGGGUAGCCGGCCUGGGAGGGUGACCGGCCACAUUGGGCCUGAGAUACGGCCCAGACUCCUACGGGAGGCAGCAGUGGGGAAUAUUACACAAUGGGCGGAAGCCUGAUACAGCAGCGCCGCGUGCGGGAUAACGGCCUUCGGGGUGUAAACCGCUUUCGACUGUGACGAAGCGUGAGUGACGGUAAUGAGUAAAAAAGCACCGGCUAACUACGUG